This 567-nucleotide long non-coding RNA is filed under the name Felis catus (domestic cat). Its description in RNAcentral is "lncRNA (ENSFCAG00000040949.2)". The record is from RNAcentral. Lineage: Eukaryota; Metazoa; Chordata; Mammalia; Carnivora; Felidae.
AUGCGGGUGGGGAAAUCACCCAGACAUACCCCACAAACACACACCAAACGCUGCGGACAGAGAUUAUCACCACAGCAGGAGGGAGGGCUGUUUCCUGAGCCAGCAGGGAGCUCUGAUGGCGGAGGACACUGUGUUCUGAGACCUCUCCACCGAGCGGAGGACUCGGUUUCGCCUCUCAUCCUACGUGGCAGGGUAUCGCGGUGUAGCGGUUACAAACGUACGAACACUGGAAUAGGACAGAUCAAUCCCACUGCCUCGUACCAAGUGCCCCGGCCCCAGGAACCAGGGAGAAAAAUGGAGCUCCCGAUGACCACUCUGGUCACACUCUUCCUGCCCCCACCAAGCCCACAGUUCUCCCUCAGUCUCUGGCACCUGCAGGGUGCUACAUUCUGCUGCCCCCAUGCUGAGCCUUGUCAUAGUGUGUACGUGAGAAUGAAGGGACGGCGAGGGCAUGGGGCGGACUGCAACUUUGACCCGGAGUUCUCGGCAGAAGAUCCUGCCCCCGCUGGAAGUGUGCUGAGCAAACCUUCUUGUCCCAAGUGUCCCCUGCCCCCAACAAGACCAUGA